Long non-coding RNA from Colossoma macropomum (tambaqui), 1604 nucleotides. RefSeq lists it as uncharacterized. The record is from RefSeq and is a predicted model, not a curated record. NCBI's taxonomy places the organism in Eukaryota, Metazoa, Chordata, Actinopteri, Characiformes, Serrasalmidae. The transcript is spliced from 3 exons.
CAUCAACCAUGGACCAGAAACUCUUUCUUCACAUAAAUCCCUGAUAAGCACUUUUCAUGACAGUGAUUAGCACCACAAGCUCACAGAGGGAGGCUUUUAGAAUAACUGUCCUUCAUUCUAGAUUAAAGAAGGUGGACAAUUAAUUCUGUCAUUCACUCAAACAUUUAAGGAAUAUCUGCUUCAUUCAUUCAUUAAACUGAAUAUGUGAAGGAAGGAAGAAAGAAAAGAAGAAAUUACAAGAAAGAAGAAGAUUGAAUGAAUGGAUGAAAGAAAGAAAGAAAGAAAGAAAGAAAAAGAAAGAAAGAAAGAAAGCAGACAUUUCUUCAUUCAUUAAACAAGAAUCUCAGUCCAGGGAGCGCAGACUGACCCUGUCUGUCCACUCGAGCAGAACUCCACCUGCAGGAGGAACCUCUCUCUCUCUCUCUCUCUCUCUCUCCCUCUCUCUCUCCCUCCCUCCCUCUCCCUCUCUCUCUCUGCUGGCGGUGUGGAGAAGUUGAGCUGUUACUCUACCGUCUGUCGCUUAAGGAGAGUAUAAAACUAAAAACCAGCUCGGGGUGCUGAUGAUUUGGGCUGUAAGUACGCAAACAAUGUGCAUUUACAGGUUCAGACACGCACGCGCUCCGCUGCUGUCUGGACUGAGAUGCCGUCCACUUCAUUGAUUUGUCAGUCCCAGCUCACUGCUCGGCAGACAGUUAGCAAAUGCAAGGCUGAACACCGACCAGCGCCACAUUAUCCCUCCUCCUCUAUCCAGCCUGCUGAACAGCAGCAACUGCAGCAUUUUACAGAAAAUCGGCUACGACUUUUUAACGUCAUGUCACGUGGAAAUAGUUAAAAUAACUGUUUACGAUUCGCUCGGAUUGUGAGUCCUCAUUUAAUACACACUACCAUCCCGUUCAACAUCGCAGAGUCAUUAGAGAAGCGCAACAGACGAGCGUCCGUUUUUUCCCCACCCGCAUUCCAACCAGACACGCCCCCCGCGCUGCCAUUGGCUGGCCUUAUCAAGCUUGCUGAGCUGUGAUUGGCUAGUCGUAAUCCCUCCCAUUGGGCGGACUGUUUCUCAGAAUGAACUACUAGCCAACCCCAGCGCAUGCGGGAUUACGGUUAGCCAAUUAUAGCAUAAGUGGGCGUGACCUGUUGUAUUACAGGUGGGGCGAGACAGCCUAGCUACAGACAACAGAUGUGAAUCUCAUUCUCACAACUCACUUGUAGAAAAAGCCUGAUUGCAAUAAUAAUAAUAAUAAUAAUAGCAGCAAGUGUUGGUCGUGUCCAAUUCUAGCAUCUUCAUACCAGUGAGGACGCUAAUAUUCUUAUAUUUGUCUCAGUCAGCAGUGAACUGAUCUCUCUCUCUCUCUCUCUCUCUCUCUCUCUCUCUCUGAGCUGGGCUGGGCUGGGCAGAGCCCACCGACCCUCCACUGAUGGAUGUGUACGAAGUUGAUAAAGACUGAGUGGUCGUGGGAAGAGACACCUGGCACUGCUCAGUCUGAUGCUGGAGCAGCGCGUGCUCUCGCGGAAGAGCGCCACUCAGCACGCGGAGCGCUGUGGAUUAUACAGCCUUCAUCACAGAGGCAGCAGAACCUCCUCACUGGAUUUAUUCUCUGGAUUUA